UGCAAAACUAACUGCAAAAGAGAGAUUUUUCAAAAACCCAUCUGACCUGCUCUUUAACUGGCAUCGCUGCUUGCAAAUCAAAGUGUUGCAGCCUGUUUCAGAACAUCUGAAAUCCAUACCUUGUAAGGUAAAAGAUACGCGGAUGCAAGUUGCAAGUAAAAUAACUCUUUAUUCAGAGAACCGCAAAGGUCUUUCAGUUGCAGCCAGCAGGAGAGUGGUGACGCAGGGACUUCGAUGGGCAAUCCAGAUGAGAUGGGUGACAACAGACUGAAGACUUCCCCGGAGUGGUGAAUGAUGAAUCAGGUGUAAUCCACAACAGGAUAGAAACAGGAACAGCCUGACGCGAUGAACUCAAUGCAGCCGAAGGAACAGACAAGGAGACCUCAAACAGGAACAACACGGGGAAACUCCAACAAUGAUCUGACAAACAUGAGACGAAAGACAGUGCAUUAAAUAGGCUGGGGGAAAUGACAUGCAUGAUGCAUGAUGAUCAGUGGUAACGCCCACAAGAAACAAUCAGCGUGAUGAGACACAUACUCACAUACAGCACGCACGACCAGGAUGAGACAGCGGAUGACCAACCGUGACAUAUCUAAGAUAAGUGAAUGCUCUUUUAAUUUAUAUCACUGUGUAUACUGCCAUCGCAUCACUGCUUGAAAUUAACUGGCAUCGCUGCUUGCAAAUCAAACUGUUGCAGCGUGUUUCAGAACAUCUGAAAUCCACAUCUAUGACAAGUGAAUGCUCUUUUAAUCCAUAUCGCUGUGUAUAUUGUCUGGUCUGCUAAUUGUAAAAAUAACAAAAUAAAAUGAUGUUAGCAGUUUUGCAUCGUUUGCAGGAGCGAAAUAUUAAGCAUAUUUGCAGCAGCAUUUACGCAUCUGUGUUUAUACACCUGGAGCAAUAAGCAGUCUAGAGCAUGUAAUCGCUCUGAGGACACGCCGAUAGUUGGCCAUGAGAACAGGUUUAAAUGAAACAAGCAUUCUCGUGUAGGCAUUCAACUGGGGUUCGCUGUAUUUAGCAGCGUAAUCUCAAGGUCACGGUUGUUUAUUUCUAAGGUUGAUGUUUCAUUAGCUGUGUGAGUGUGCGGUUGAUUUCAGCUGCACGCAGCAUCAAAAGCACACGUUUAUCGCUCUAUGGCUUCUAUACAUAUAAGAAUGUGAUAUCAAGGACAGUCAUACAAAGUAUUUCCGCAGGGUGUAUGCUUCCCCUGCCACCCACAAUUAUACAAUUUACAGCAUUAAUGCAUAUAACAUGCUCCUCGUGCCGCAGCAAGGGGUCGUAUGCUUCCCCCUUUACAAUCACAUAUUUGCUUUAAGCAUUUUAAGCAACAUGCUUGUUGCAUAUACACGAUUGCCUAACUUGGGGUGAUGCUAUUAGACCGGUGCUGCUAGGGGUGUAUGCUUCCCCCUGUACAUUCAAAUAUUUGCAUAAGCAGCUUAAGCAACAUGCUUGUUGCAUGCUUCCUUACUGAGUUUGGGUGAUGCUUCGCUCAUAAAUAUAGUAUAAGCCAACAUUUCCCAUCGCUGACCAUUCAAAUUGCAUCAGUUGUGUUGGGGGGUUUUGGCAUUUGGUUGUUUUGGGGGUUUAUCUUGCUGCUCUCCCUUCUUUGUCCAAGCAUGGCUGCAUGGACAGGCGUGUGGAGUGUUGCCCAGAACAUAACCAUAUCGGCAACACUAAUUGUAUGCAAUAUAAUUGUCAUAAAUAUACUUGACAGACGUGGUCCUGAUUGAAAUUCAGCAUCGCGUUAGUUCAUGCAGGCCACGUCAGUCAAGCUCGCAUCAGCUGACAGUCAGCUGUUCCUGACAUGUACCAAUCGAGUCUUGACACCUAUCACAAGCAGUCUAUUUAAAUUUCCAUUCUUCAGCUUCUUUUCCAUCGCAUCGCUGCUUGCAAUUAUCUCCCUUCUCCAACCCCAACUCCACCAACUGAACCUGUAAUCCGAUCUGACUUUUGUUUCUUCCUUUACAGUCACUUCAUUGGAAGCAUUCUCUAUCAUGUUUCAUUUUACAACUAAUGUAAUUGUGAAUUGUAAUUAUGUAUGCGUAUAAUGGUUCUGUUCUUUACCCCAGGGGGGAUUGUCUUGCUGCUCUCUUAGCUCUGUAUAAGCAUGGCUGCAUGGACAGGCGUGUGGAGUGUUGCCCAGAACAUAACCAUACCGCCAACACUGAAAUAUAAUUGUCAUAAAUAUACUUGACGGAAGUGGUCCUGAUUGAACUAAGUGUUUGUGUAGAGAGUGGAAGCUGAAGUGUGCUUAAUGCAUGAGGCGCCAGCGCGAUCACUUCAUUGAAUUCUUCACUGGAAACAAGUAGGCUACGCUGUCAUUUUUGCUCAUACAGAGAAAACAAACAGGAUGUGCUUGCUGUCUCGUGAACAGGGAAAUGUCCAGCUCGGGCUGAAAUGCAAAGCUCUAAAAUCAGGAGAGAUGAGGCGAUUCUGAGAGAGAGACAAAGAAACUGGCCAAAAGAGACACGCGUCUAGCAGAGAGAAAAAAACGGGUUCCAUGGGGUAGAAGGUGCUGAGAGACGGUGGAAUUCCGGGAGUGUGGAGAUCAAGGAACUGAGAGAACAGGUAUAACCUCCUGGAGAAUGAUAAUCCUGCCAUUUUAAGGACAAGAAGGCCAGCAGAACUAGUGGAGCCAGGGGACUACCACAAGAAAAAGGACUUCUUAAAGAACAGAGUGAUCAUCAGAACUGGACAUCCAGAGAUUUCCAGACCUGCAAGAUUCAGAACUCCAAGCCUAAAAGAUCUAGAACCCCUGAGACCCACCAUGCCAUGGAUGGACCUGAUGGAACUUCACAAACUACAACAACAGCAAUGACUACUUCUUCUAGAAGGACUUUUCCAAAUUGAAAUGAAUGGACAAUGGACAAGAGAAACAAAGUGUUCAAACUAUUUUCAGAGACUGUGGACAGCAGUCUUAUCACAGAGAUGGAAAACAAGAUAUUAGAAAUGCACAAAGACAGACUCUCUGCACAUAAUACCAGAAAGAGACAAACAUAUGCAUACUCGAAUGCAGAACAUUGUCUACUGAACGCACACAUGUGACAAAGGAUGUCCACACUGAGAGAAUGGACACAAUGCUGUGACAAAAAUCCAUUUGGGUUUAUCUGUGAGUGCGAUGCUUUGGAAAAACAACCAUAGUGUGGAGCACCCCAGACAAACUAUGAAUCAUGUGAAAUCAACCUAACUCAUCUUCACAAUAAAUUCACUAGGGUAAUAGUUUCAGACAAGAAAACAUGAAUUACCACAACUUUAAAUCACUUCUCCAUCUUUAUCGAUAAUAACCAGACAUUAUGUCCAAUUAAUGAUACUUCAUUAUGUAUAACCCCCGAGUCAGCCUGGUCUUUAGGAAAUUAUCAUUUUCCAUAUGUAAGCACCACUCAACAGGCAAUGUCAGUAAAGCCAGAGGAACAACUGGGCUUUUUAGAAGAGAUCCCUGAAUUUGAGUUUGAGUUACCAAAACUGGAUGAUAUGCAAAGGAAAGAUAACCAUAUUGUUAAAGCUCAACAAGGUCUUGAUGAAAAGGAUAAGGCUUUAACUAAACAAAUGCAUGAUGGAGAUUUAGUUAUUGCAUACUCUGGUUUGAUUUGGGAUAUAACUUUUAAAACUGAUGUUUGUGUUUGUAUCUUCCUAAUUAUGUGUCACUGCAUUAUAUUUUGCUGUAUGUGUUCUAUGGUGUAAAGUCAAAUUGCAGAUAGUUCAGUGAUCAAUGUUGGACGUUCUCGUUGGUUGUGAUGGUUCUCGAUUACUUCUUCUAAACCCUAGAAACAUUUUUCAAAUUUAAACAAACCCGUGAUACUUUUGCAAAUGAAACGGAGUUGUAACCAGUGUGCAUGAGGUGUCGACCCAAUGACGGGUAAGAUUCUCCAGUGGCCAGAGGGGGACAACCUAAGCCAGGGCUUCACUGCCACUGGGCACCUACCGAGGAAGGGAGGUGUAAUCUGUGUAAGGAAGUGGAUGUGAUGCUUCUUUUGGGCCAAGAGCAUCAAAGAGGGGACUGUAAGAAAUUAUACUCUGUCUCGACCCAGCUUCCACUCCAAAUUGUGUAUUAAACUAGGCUCCUUUCCCCACAAAGAGCUUAAUUAUCAUAGAGAGUUAUUUCCGAUCUUAAUGAUAUGUAAAUAGUACCUCUGGAGUGAUAAUUUGUCACUUAUAGCGUGGGAGUAGCAGCAGGUCAUCAAGAACCAUCGGGAAUGGAAGGCUAUCACUUUCAUUUUUUUUUCGCAGUGUUGAGUGGGAAGAUGAACGUAAUACAGUAUAAAAUGUUUGAGCUUAGGAUGUUCGGGGUUCAUUCCAACUCCGUUGAACCCAAGGUACUACGUGUACAUUGUCACUGCUAUGCUGCUAUAAACAUCUUCGUCAAGAUCUUCAACGUCCUCACCACUUCUUCUUACAGUGUACAAAUAAAUAACCACACCGGUGCUCCCGCUGAUGGUUCACUCGCAUGCAGGUACUGAAAGUUUGGCCAAAUACUUAAACUUACAGGGAGCUUUAUCAUGAUAUCAAAUAUCAUUACUGAUUGCUUAUUAAUAGGAUGAUGUUCUGUAAUGGUGCUUUCAGUCAUUGAUUUAAUAUUAAUGUAAAGUUAGUUUAGUUAUAAAUUAGUGAAAUGCUUUUUUUAACUUUUUUUUCCCCUGAAUUGUUUAA
Long non-coding RNA from Cyprinus carpio (common carp), 4644 nucleotides. RefSeq lists it as uncharacterized. The record is from RefSeq and is a predicted model, not a curated record. NCBI's taxonomy places the organism in Eukaryota, Metazoa, Chordata, Actinopteri, Cypriniformes, Cyprinidae. The transcript has 5 exons.